RNAcentral lists this ribosomal RNA (253 nucleotides) under uncultured bacterium. Its description in RNAcentral is "partial 16S ribosomal RNA". It matches the Rfam family "Bacterial small subunit ribosomal RNA", at positions 524 to 776 of the family's 1533-position model. The record is from RNAcentral.
UACGUAGGGGGCAAGCGUUGUCCGGAUUUAUUGGGCGUAAAGCGCUCGCAGGUGGUCCGCUGCGUCGUGCGUGAAAGACCCCGGCUCAACUGGGGAGUGUCGUGCGAUACGGGCGGACUGGAGGCCAGUAGGGGGAUGCGGAAUUCCGGGUGUAGUGGUGGAAUGCGUAGAGAUCCGGAGGAACACCAGCGGCGAAGGCGGAUCUCUGGGCCUUACCUGACGCUGAGGCGCGAAAGCUAGGGGAGCGAACAGG